Brienomyrus brachyistius is the source of this 4090-nucleotide long non-coding RNA. RefSeq lists it as uncharacterized. NCBI's taxonomy places the organism in Eukaryota, Metazoa, Chordata, Actinopteri, Osteoglossiformes, Mormyridae. The transcript is spliced from 3 exons. The record is from RefSeq and is a predicted model, not a curated record.
GCGACGAAUGAAGUCCCGCACGGUCUUUGUGUUGAUCUUUGGCAGAGGAAUGCCAGCUUUGCACAGAACUGGAUCCUCCACCAAAAUCCGGUGCUGGAUUCGCUGGUACACCUUUAAGAUAAAGGUCUUCUCAGGGCUGGUGCGAGACCCUUGAGGUGAGUGCAGCCACAACAGUUUCACCAGUGUGUACAUCAUUCUGUUGUGCUGGAGCGUACCGCUUGGCCAUCUUCACCCGCUGUACUACAGUAGCCUCGAAGGGGUCAUCUCUUUUAGUGCGGCAGUAAAGGGUGUUGCCCCAAUGUGAUUUGUACAGCUGGUUGAACUGCUGUGGAUGUUUGUCAUGCUCUUCCAUGGCAUUCCAGGCUUCAAGCACCCUGUUCCGCUGCUCUGUGCUAAGUGACAGCUUGUCGUCUACCAAGCCAAUCUCCACCAGCACAGAGCAGAACCUUUCCAGCUUUUGAAAGCCAGGAAGAGGAUUUUGGCUGCAGGCGUCCUCCUUUAAAAAAACAAAAGACAUACGAAUGUGGAUAACCAGAACAGAGAAAGCCGGAUCCAGGGAUGCAAGCCGAGAGGCGCUCUAUCAAUGAAAACCGAGCUGAGGCACCAGAAGGAAUAGGCGAGAGACAAGGUUGAAAAACAGGCAGGGAAGUCGUAAGCCGGGGGGUCAGUCCUACAAGGAGGCGCGGGACAGGAAUACACAAGGGCACAGGCACGGGAACGAGACGAGCCGGAGCAGGCAGGGUAGAGGGGUCAGGUGCGGGAACGGGUCUGGAACGGGAUAGAGAGAGGGGUAAGGAGAGGACACGAGGCAAACAGGCAGGGUCUGGUAGCAGGGAGAGACAAUCGACAAGAAAGUGCUUAGCAAGGCUUCUAAUCAUCAGCGCAAUACUUCGCACUGGGCUGGUGACUUCUGGCUGGCUUUAUACCUAGGGUCAGUACACUUAAUGAGCCUCUGCUGGUGGUGUCCGCCUGUGGGGGUGUAACAGUACCCCCCCCCGACGGCUGCCUCCCGGAGGCCGAAGACGCUUGCGGGGCCGACCCCGAGGGCGCGGAGCAGGGCGGGAGGGGUGAGACUGGUGAAGGGGUGUGACUGGUCUUGAGGUCUGGGUCGUCAAUCGCGCUGGCCGGCAACCAGCUACUGUCCUCCCGGGAUUCCCCCUCCCAGUGGACCAGAUACUGGAGUUGACCCUUCUGGUGGCGAGAAUCCAGGAUGGAGCGGGCUCGUGGGGCCGGGUCCACCUCAGGCACAUCCUCUGGGGAGUCGUCCAGCGGAGGGACAUCGGGCCGUAGGGAACUGAACUUCACCGCUUUCAGCAGUGAGGCAUGAAAGGUAGGGCAGAUGCGAUCGACUUUAGGGAGUUGUAAACGAUAAGCCAUGGGUCCCACUCGCCUCAGGAUACGGAAGGGUCCGAGGAACCGCGCGGUCAACUUCUUACACUCUGGGAGACGUAGAUUCCGUGUCGACAGCCACACCAACUGACCCACCCGAUAAGUGGGUCCCGCCGGAUGGAUAGACAGUGGAAGUUUCAUCGCUGCUCGUCGGAAGGGACAUCAGCAGGGGUCCGGAAAUUCUCUUCCACAGUCUCACCAAACAGCUGCUGACAGCGGGUGUUGAGGCGGUCGAUCAGCGGUGCAGAGUAGGUCCUGUGGUGCCGUCCUCUGCCACCAAACACGGCAUCCGAGCUCCUGUCCGAGUUCCACCGCACAAUGCCGCUUAGCAGGUAAACCUGAUAGGGCUGCGCUGCGCAGUGAGGACCUGGACAUGACAAUAAAAUGUAUAACGGUGUUGGAAUAAUAACAGGCCCAUGUUUCAUUUGUUAGAAGUGAUCAGACUACACGCUCAUACCUGGAAUCAUGUGCGGCAGAGCUUUGUGGAAUCCUUCCAGGCUGUUGCUUCCACGCAGACAUUUGUAAUAGGGCACAUCCACAUUGCUGAUGGUUGUUACGUGCAACCCUAUACAUGCUCAUGUCUGGUGGAUCCUGGAUGCCCUCCAGAUGCCGCUGCUGCUCCGCCCAGAUCUCAUCAAUGGCCACUGUAAAUGUAUACAAAUGCAUACAAUGUAAAUGUGUAAAAUAGAUACAUCCCGUGUUUUAUGCUUCACUUCUCACACUACUGGCAUUUGUGUUGUAAUAGCUUUUUUUUCCAUACCUGGUGUUUUGAAGAGCCUCACUCCAUUCUCAUCCAGACCGGCGGGACCUUUAAGCUCCUCGAUGGCCAGGUGGAUGAGCUGGAAUGUUUCCUGAGCGCCGAGUGUGACCCUCCGUACAUGAUGUUUCAGCUGCUCCCUGGAUAUGUAGAGCCGCACUACAUCCUCGUCUGACACGGACUUCAGCGCUGCCGGGUCCUUGGCCCUGACCGCCUUGAUGAGCAGCUCCAAGUCCGUGCGGUUGUACGCCAGCACUGCCCCAGCUACAGCAGACUUGAAAAUGGCGUACUAGCAGUGAGACUGUUCGGAUGGCUGCGUCAAACCGGUGGAUCCAAUGGAAAAUGUCCAGACGCACAACCAUCCCACUGUCCACCCAAGGCUGGAACAUGACAGAUUUCAUACUGUAAUAUGCCUCUCAUUUGUUUAUUUUUUGGCUUUGUUCUUUACAGUAACUUUUCUGGAGUACUGAAUAUGGCAAACAUGACUGAUAACUAAUAUGUAACAACUGCACAGUAUACAAAUAUUUUUGGUAGACGACCAUACUUUUUUUUUAUUAUAGUCUUACAGUUUCUACUUUGCAUGCCAACAACUAUUUUGAGUGUGUUGGAGAAAGCGGCAAAGCUUUACACUCCAAAUCAUAUAUGUUGGAGAAAGCGCUAGGCUUUGCACCCCAACUCUGCAUACACUAUGAAUUACGAGACAACACGCUUUAAAGUUUUACUUGCGCAAGGGUACCCACACUUUCAGCAGAAUGUGCUACAAAGGGUGGUUCUCCUUGGCUCCUUUAUUUAGUCAGUGGGAGGCGCAGGGGUCUCGCAAAAUAGGGAGGUGAGCAAGAAGAGAAAGUUCUGGUUUUGCUUAGGUGGGCAGCUGUUGAGCACAUACUCAGGGUAUGUGCAAGCUGAAUGCUAUUAUUAAUAUAAUCUAAAGUAUGAGGCUAGAGGAAAACAAAAUAAUGUAUAUACAUAUUUACACUCAUUGCUGAUUAUACAGAAAUGAUAACAAAUGAUUAAUAAGUUUCUUCAACCUAACAGAGUGGUAGUGUUUUCAUUUCAUUGAGUUUAGAUAGAAUUUUAGGGUUUGUGCUUAGUGGAUUGAUCAAAGGAGAGGAGAUUUUAGGAAAUGUUUUAGCAAUUCAGAAAAACUGUAAAAUGUCAGACUACUUUGAAAGUGGGUGAGAGGCCUCAGACUCCAAAGGGUUACAGUAAAUACUUAUUAUGCUAUGUUUCUUUUAUGUUCCUCUUUUUGAGUCUGGUACUAUGACAAAAAAUUCCCAAUCUAUCUAUCCAGUGCUACUUUAUCAUUCCAUCCUCUUUGCGCAAUGUAGUGAUGUAAAGUGCUGUCAGCAAAACAGCAUGAUACUACCACCACCCUGCUUGACCAUUGGUUCAGUGUUCUUAGGUUAAGAAAGCAACCUCACCUUGAUCCCCUGCAAACAUAUCUCUUUUCAUUGUGGCCAAGCAGAGAAGUUAAUGACACAUUCACACGUCAUUGUGACUGCCCCACAUCCCCACCCCGUGAAUAUGCAGCCAUCAGCAGCCUUUCAGACUGUUAGCCAGACAGAACACACUAAGGAAUGUGUCUGUUUUAUUCAAGCACAGUACAGAACCAUACGUUUUUUUAUUUUUCAUUUUCCACUCUGUCCACCUUUAUUCUCCACAAUCAACCGUAUUACUUUGUUUAGGCCUGUAAUUAGUCUGUUACACACAUCUUGGGUCACUCUCCUCUCCCAACAUAACUCUUGCUUGGACAUGCUGCUGCUUUGUAUCUGGCUUGGCCUCCUUGCAGAUGAAGUAUUUCAUCAUGUGCCAAACGAGCUUAAAAUCUGUUUAAUUUUCAUAUACCACACUGUCCCUCAUUGCUUGACAAUAUCAAUCUUAUUACUUUGUUUCAGUCUGUAAUUAUUAUACUGCACACAUCAUGGGUCCGCCUCAUCUCCAAAA